CCUACGGGAGGCAGCAGUGGGGAAUAUUGCACAAUGGGGGAAACCCUGAUGCAGCGACGCCGCGUGAGUGAAGAAGUAAUUCGUUAUGUAAAGCUCUAUCAGCAGGGAAGAAAAUGACGGUACCUGAGUAAGAAGCCCCGGCUAAAUACGUGCCAGCAGCCGCGGUAAUACGUAGGGGGCAAGCGUUAUCCGGAUUUACUGGGUGUAAAGGGAGCGUAGACGGCAGUGCAAGUCUGGAGUGAAAGGCUGGGGCUCAACCCCCGGACUGCUCUGGAAACUGUACGGCUGGAGUGCAGGAGAGGUAAGUGGAAUUCGUGGUGUAGCGGUGAAAUGCGUAGAUAUUAGGAGGAACACCAGUGGCGAAGGCGGCUUACUGGACUGUAACUGACGUUGAGGCUCGAAAGCGUGGGGAGCAAACAGGAUUAGAUACCCUGGUAGUC
This 440-nucleotide ribosomal RNA is filed under the name uncultured bacterium. RNAcentral's name for it is "partial 16S ribosomal RNA". It matches the Rfam family "Bacterial small subunit ribosomal RNA", at positions 338 to 795 of the family's 1533-position model. The record is from RNAcentral.